Molecule: ribosomal RNA, 435 nt
Filed under: uncultured bacterium
Lineage: Bacteria
Description: partial 16S ribosomal RNA
Rfam family: Bacterial small subunit ribosomal RNA
Source: RNAcentral
AGCGAACGCUGGCGGCAGGCUUAACACAUGCAAGUCGAGCGGGCGUAGCAAUACGUCAGCGGCAGACGGGUGAGUAACGCGUGGGAACGUACCUUUUGGUUCGGAGCAACACAGGGAAACUUGUGCUAAUACCGGAUAAGCCCUUACGGGGAAAGAUUUAUCGCCGAAAGAUCGGCCCGCGUCUGAUUAGCUAGUUGGUGAGGUAACGGCUCACCAAGGCGACGAUCAGUAGCUGGUCUGAGAGGAUGAUCAGCCACAUUGGGACUGAGACACGGCCCAAACUCCUACGGGAGGCAGCAGUGGGGAAUAUUGGACAAUGGGGGCAACCCUGAUCCAGCCAUGCCGCGUGAGUGAUGAAGGCCCUAGGGUUGUAAAGCUCUUUUGUGCGGGAAGAUAAUGACGGUACCGCAAGAAUAAGCCCCGGCUAACUUCGUG